This 465-nucleotide ribosomal RNA is filed under the name Vreelandella stevensii. RNAcentral's name for it is "partial 16S ribosomal RNA". It matches the Rfam family "Bacterial small subunit ribosomal RNA", at positions 338 to 795 of the family's 1533-position model. The record is from RNAcentral. Lineage: Bacteria; Pseudomonadati; Pseudomonadota; Gammaproteobacteria; Oceanospirillales; Halomonadaceae.
CCUACGGGCGGCAGCAGUGGGGAAUAUUGGACAAUGGGGGCAACCCUGAUCCAGCCAUGCCGCGUGUGUGAAGAAGGCCCUCGGGUUGUAAAGCACUUUCAGUGAGGAAGAACGCCUGGUGGUUAAUACCCAUCAGGAAAGACAUCACUCACAGAAGAAGCACCGGCUAACUCCGUGCCAGCAGCCGCGGUAAUACGGAGGGUGCGAGCGUUAAUCGGAAUUACUGGGCGUAAAGCGCGCGUAGGUGGCUUGAUAAGCCGGUUGUGAAAGCCCCGGGCUCAACCUGGGAACGGCAUCCGGAACUGUCAAGCUAGAGUGCAGGAGAGGAAGGUAGAAUUCCCGGUGUAGCGGUGAAAUGCGUAGAGAUCGGGAGGAAUACCAGUGACGAAGGCGGCCUUCUGGACUGACACUGACACUGAGGUGCGAAAGCGUGGGUAGCAAACAGGAUUAGAUACCCCAGUAGUC